AACGAACGCUGGCGGCAUGCCUAACACAUGCAAGUCGAACGAGACCUUCGGGCCUAGUGGCGCACGGGUGCGUAACGCGUGGGAACCUGCCCUUAGGUUCGGAAUAACUCCCCGCAAGGGGUGCUAAUACCGGACAAUGUCUUCGGACCAAAGAUUUAUCGCCUUUGGAUGGGCCCGCGUUGGAUUAGCUAGUUGGUAGGGUAAAAGCCUACCAAGGCGACGAUCCAUAACUGGUCUGAGAGGAUGAUCAGCCACACUGGGACUGAGACACGGCCCAGACUCCUACGGGAGGCAGCAGUGGGGAAUAUUGGACAAUGGGCGAAAGCCUGAUCCAGCAAUGCCGCGUGAGUGAUGAAGGCCUUAGGGUUGUAAAGCUCUUUUACCCGGGAUGAUAAUGACAGUACCGGGAGAAUAAGCUCCGGCUAACUCCGUG
Molecule: ribosomal RNA, 433 nt
Filed under: uncultured bacterium
Lineage: Bacteria
Description: partial 16S ribosomal RNA
Rfam family: Bacterial small subunit ribosomal RNA
Source: RNAcentral